ACAUAUAAAAUGAACGUAGAGACAUAUCGAAACGUGUAUGCAUACAUAUUUAUGUACUUAUAUACAAAUAUUAUGUACAAUGGAACGUUUUAUAAAAACAACUGGAUGCAUCUCUCAAUAAUAUAAGAAUUGAUUUUAUUAGAUGAUGAGGGUAACUCUACAACAAAUAAGUCACAUACUACGUUACGUGAAAUUAACUAUUAUAUACAUAUAUAUAUAUAUGUAUAUACAAACUUGUUUUUACUUAAAACUUUGAUUAAUGGUUUUCAUUUGCAAGGAUAAAAAUUACAUUCAUGUGUUGACAAAGCUUUAUAUUAAAAAGUGUUGUCUAAUAGUUUAACAUUCAUCAUUCGAAGAAAUUGCGAUUGGGAUAGGUAAAUGCAAAAUGAUACACAGUACGCAAAAUGAAACAUAGUACGAACAAUACCAAUUUGAAUUAAACGAUUUUGUACGAAUAUGUAGUUGAAGUGAUCAACAAAACUAUAGAAGCAAUAUUACAUAAUUAUAUGUAUACCUUAUUUAAUUUAAAAAUAUCUCAUCAAGCAUCUUUAUAAAUCGGUUAUUAAAAAGAAUGGAUUGUAUAAUACAAACAUGUGCAAGAAUUGAAUUAUUUUCCAACUAUACGAUUCGCAUGCGCCCUCUCUUCGAAUUGAGUUAUGAGUAUACAAACUCUGGAAAUAUUUAAUUUUUUCUUAAAAUGAUGACUACGAAGAACAUCGGAAGACAUACGUCAACAAAAAUAAGAAAAGUGAUCUGAUAAUCAACGAAACAAUAUCCUUACUGAUUCUAAAUUCGAAUUUGUAAAUAAAGAAAAGUAACAUUUUCAGGCACAAAAAGCUGCCUCACAUCUUAUGAGUUCUUUUCAGCGUUAUAAUGAUUAUGUAUGUAUGUACCAUAUGUAUGUGUGUAUAUGUAUAUAUGUAUAUAAAAAUGUAGAAAAUUCAUGUAAACAUUAUUUUAAGUUUGGUAAUGUGUAUAUACGUUACUUUUGCAGAAAAUAAAUUGUAAAAUAAUUAAAAGCCAGCUUUAUUUAAAAACAUAUUGCGGUAUUGGCCUUAGAUGAUGCAAAAAGUUUUUUUAAACAAAUUAGAUUUUAGUUUUUAUUCAAGCUGAGUUUAUAAAAAAAUAUGGCCAGACGUUUUUGGAUCCAGAUUCCGAAGGAGUGAUAAAAAUUCACAGCCUGCAAUCCCUUUAUCAGUCUAAUCUUGCAACAGAUGUUAUAUACUCUUUCAAAGUAAAUCUAUCAUAUUGUGACUGGCAUUUAGUCAUGCAUUAAUACAUAUAAAAUAUUUAAUUAUAACUUUGUAAAUUAUAUAUUCCUAAUUAUUCUGAUAGAGUGUAUUAAUCUAGAAAUAGAAUAUUAACUGAACCAAUAUAAUGACCACAAUAAUAAAAUUUGUGGAAAACCCUGUUGACGCCAUUUACUUGCUCUUAGUCAAUAGAUAUUAUUUCAGUGUCUCAUGACGUCGAAUUCUCAUCUU
This is a long non-coding RNA of Bactrocera neohumeralis, 1481 nucleotides long. RefSeq lists it as uncharacterized. The transcript is spliced from 2 exons. The record is from RefSeq and is a predicted model, not a curated record. NCBI's taxonomy places the organism in Eukaryota, Metazoa, Arthropoda, Insecta, Diptera, Tephritidae.